AGGGUGUAAGCACACAUGGAGGGCACAGGGUGCAUUCACAGGGCAGGGUGUAAGCACAUAUGGAGGGCACAGGGAGCUGAGCAGGGCAGAGUGUAAGCACACAUGGAGGGCACAGGGAGCAAGCACAGGGCAGGGUGUAAGCACAUGGGGGCACAGGGAGCAUUCACAGGGCAGGGUGUAAGCACACAUGGAGGGCACAGGGUGCAUUCACAGGGCAGGGUGUAAGCACACAUGGAGGGCACAGGGAGCUGAUCAGGGCAGGGUGUACGCACAUGGGGGCACAGGGAGCAUUCACAGGG
This is a non-coding RNA of Pelobates cultripes (western spadefoot toad), 299 nucleotides long. The record is from the annotation of a GenBank genome assembly. Lineage: Eukaryota; Metazoa; Chordata; Amphibia; Anura; Pelobatidae.